UCAUUUGUUUUUUAAUUGGAAACUGGAAUGAACGGUUGACCUUGUUUAAUAAGUUUGUAUAUUUUAAUAGAAAGUUAAAGUCAAGGUAAGAAUUCUUUGAUAGUUUAGGGGACGAUAAGACCCUAUAAGCUUUAUAAGCGUAGUAGCGAUUUUGUUUUUCAAAUUAGUUUAUUUUGCUGGGGCGGCACUGGUGUAUUAACCAUUAGUUUAUUUAGGAUCCUAAAAAUAUAGAUGAGAUGUAAAAGUUACUUUAGGGGUAACAGUGCAAUAUUUUUGGAGAGAUCUUAUCGAUAAAUAUGUUUGCAACCUCGAUGUUGAAUUAAAAUUUCUACGUGAAGCAGAAAGUACGGUAGAGGGUUUGUUCAACCUUUAAAUUUUUACAUGAUCUGAGU
This 392-nucleotide ribosomal RNA is filed under the name Eulimnogammarus viridis. RNAcentral's name for it is "partial 16S ribosomal RNA". The stretch from base 110 to 392 matches the Rfam family "Bacterial large subunit ribosomal RNA", at positions 2078 to 2610 of the family's 2925-position model. The record is from RNAcentral. Lineage: Eukaryota; Metazoa; Arthropoda; Malacostraca; Amphipoda; Eulimnogammaridae.